This 253-nucleotide ribosomal RNA is filed under the name uncultured bacterium. RNAcentral describes it as "partial 16S ribosomal RNA". It matches the Rfam family "Bacterial small subunit ribosomal RNA", at positions 524 to 776 of the family's 1533-position model. The record is from RNAcentral.
UACGGAGGAUGCAAGCGUUAUCCGGAAUGAUUGGGCGUAAAGCGUCCGCAGGUGGCUUUGUAAGUCUGCUGUUAAAGAGUGAGGCUCAACCUCAUAAGAGCAGUGGAAACUACAAGGCUAGAGUGCGUUCGGGGCAGAGGGAAUUCCUGGUGUAGCGGUGAAAUGCGUAGAGAUCAGGAAGAACACCGGUGGCGAAAGCGCUCUGCUAGGCCGUAACUGACACUGAGGGACGAAAGCUAGGGGAGCGAACAGG